Frieseomelitta varia is the source of this 452-nucleotide long non-coding RNA. RefSeq lists it as uncharacterized. The record is from RefSeq and is a predicted model, not a curated record. NCBI's taxonomy places the organism in Eukaryota, Metazoa, Arthropoda, Insecta, Hymenoptera, Apidae. The transcript has 2 exons.
UAUGGCCAAACGAAAGUAUGAAUAAUUUCACGAACACAGAUCGCAGGCCCAAGAUCAAUAAACGUUAGCAGAUUUUUUCUAUUUUUUGGUGCCCUCGUUUAUAUUUAGCUUUAUCUUACAUAGUUAGCACCUGCCGACGCUUUCACACUAAUAACUGUGCGCACGUUUCUUACUAAAUAGAUACCUCUUUGCCUCAUAAAUAGAGAGUGAAAAUCGUCGAGUUAAAAAAAGAAAAAAAAAAAAUGUACUGUCGAAGAAAUAAACGUAUAGCUGCGACAACUACGUAGACAUAGAGGAUUUUUCUUUUAUUUUACUUGUAGCUGGUAAGUGAAGUAUACCACCGGUCGUUUCGCACCAACGUUUCAAUUUUUUCUUCACUGCUACAGGAAACAGUCGCUUUCGAUUCGAGUUUGCGAGAAGUUCACGCUUCUUUAAACUUAAACGUCCUGCCA